RNAcentral lists this ribosomal RNA (2146 nucleotides) under Sporosarcina aquimarina. RNAcentral's name for it is "partial 16S ribosomal RNA". It matches the Rfam family "Bacterial large subunit ribosomal RNA", at positions 129 to 2266 of the family's 2925-position model. The record is from RNAcentral. Lineage: Bacteria; Bacillati; Bacillota; Bacilli; Caryophanales; Caryophanaceae.
CACCAUCUUUAAUAGGAUGGUACGUAUGCGUGAAUACAUAGCGUAUACGAGGCAGACCCGGAGAACUGAAACAUCUAAGUAUCCGGAGGAAGAGAAAGAAAAAUCGAUUCCCUGAGUAGCGGCGAGCGAAACGGGAAAAGCCCAAACCAGGAAGCUUGCUUCCUGGGGUUGUAGGACACUCUAUACGGAGUUACAAAGGAAUGAGUUAGGYGAAGCGACCUGGAAAGGUCYGCCAGAGUGGGUAAAAGCCCCGUAGCCGAAAGUUCAUUCYCUCCAGAGUGGAUCCUGAGUACGGCGGAACACGUGAAAUUCCGUCGGAAUCCGGGAGGACCAUCUCCCAAGGCUAAAUACUCCCUAGUGACCGAUAGUGAACCAGUACCGUGAGGGAAAGGUGAAAAGCACCCCGGAAGGGGAGUGAAAUAGAUCCUGAAACCGUGUGCCUACAAGUUGUCAGAGCCCGUUAAUGGGUGAUGGCGUGCCUUUUGUAGAAUGAACCGGCGAGUUACGAUUCCAUGCGAGGUUAAGCAGAGAAUGCGGAGCCGCAGCGAAAGCGAGUCUGAAUAGGGCGAAUGAGUAUGGGGUCGUAGACCCGAAACCAGGUGAUCUACCCAUGUCCAGGGUGAAGGUAAGGUAACACUUACUGGAGGCCCGAACCCACGUACGUUGAAAAGUGCGGGGAUGAGGUGUGGGUAGCGGUGAAAUUCCAAUCGAACCUGGAGAUAGCUGGUUCUCUCCGAAAUAGCUUUAGGGCUAGCCUCAAACGUUAGAAUCUCGGAGGUAGAGCACUGUUUGGACUAGGGGCCCAUCCCGGGUUACCGAAUUCAGACAAACUCCGAAUGCCGAUGAUUUAUGUUUGGGAGUCAGACUAUGGGUGAUAAGGUCCGUAGUCGAGAGGGAAACAGCCCAGACCGCCAGUUAAGGUCCCAAAGUAUUCGUUAAGUGGAAAAGGAUGUGGCGCUGCCCAGACAACCAGGAUGUUGGCUUAGAAGCAGCCAUCAUUUAAAGAGUGCGUAAUAGCUCACUGGUCGAGUGGCGCUGCGCCGAAAAUGUAUCGGGGCUAAACGAAUCACCGAAACUGCGGAUUGACACCUUUGGUGUYAGUGGUAGGAGAGCGUUCCAAGGGCGUUGAAGCUGGACCGGAAGGACUGGUGGAGCGCUUGGAAGUGAGAAUGCCGGUAUGAGUAGCGAAAGAAGGGUGAGAAUCCCUUCCACCGAAUGCCCAAGGUUUCCUGAGGAAAGGCUCGUCCGCUCAGGGUCAGUCGGGACCUAAGUCGAGGCCGAUAGGCGUAGACGAUGGAUAACAGGUUGAUAUUCCUGUACUACCUCCCCACCGUUUGAGUGAUGGGGUGACGCAGAAGGAUAGGGUGAGCGCGCUGUUGGUCAUGCGCGUCUAAGCAGUGAGGUGUGAAACGAGGCAAAUCCCGUUUCUMAUACAUUGAGCUGUGAUGGCAAGGGGUGUAUACCCUGGAGUCCCUGAUUUCACACUGCCAAGAAAAGCCUCUAACGAGGUGGGAGGUWCCCGUACCGCAAACCAACACAGGUAGGCGAGGAGAGAAUCCUAAGGUGAUCGAGAGAACUCUCGUUAAGGAACUCGGCAAAAUGACCCCGUAACUUCGGGAGAAGGGGUGCUCUGGUAGGGUGAAUAGCCCGAGAGAGCCGCAGUGAAUAGGCCCAGGCGACUGUUUAGCAAAAACACAGGUCUCUGCAAAACCGUAAGGUGACGUAUAGGGGCUGACGCCUGCCCGGUGCUGGAAGGUUAAGAGGAGAGGUUAGCGCAAGCGAAGCUUCGAAUUGAAGCCCCAGUAAACGGCGGCCGUAACUAUAACGGUCCUAAGGUAGCGAAAUUCCUUGUCGGGUAAGUUCCGACCCGCACGAAAGGCGUAACGAUCUGGGCACUGUCUCAACGAGAGACUCGGUGAAAUUAUAAUAUGCGUGAAGAUGCGCAUUACCCGCGACAGGACGGAAAGACCCCGUGGAGCUUUACUGUAGCCUGAUAUUGAAUUCCGGUGCAGCCUGUACAGGAUAGGUAGGAGCCUAAGAGACUGGAGCGCUAGCUUCAGAGGAGGCAAUGGUGGGAUACUACCCUGGCUGUAUUGGACUUCUAACCCUUGCCCGUGAUCCGGGCAGGAGACAGUGUCAGGCGGAC